This 478-nucleotide ribosomal RNA is filed under the name Trypanosoma cruzi. RNAcentral describes it as "SSU rRNA". The record is from RNAcentral. Lineage: Eukaryota; Euglenozoa; Kinetoplastea; Trypanosomatida; Trypanosomatidae.
AUUUCGCUUUUGUUGGUUUUAAAGUCCAUUGGAGAUUAUGGGGCAUGUGUGACAAGCGGCUGGGUGGUUAUUCCACACACACUCCUUUUUUGGACGUGUUGUGUGGCACUCGUCGCCUUUGUGGGAAAUCCGUGUGGCACUGUUUGUGUUGUUGGCAGACUUCGGUCUUGCCUUCGCAUAUUUCACAUGUGUCAUGCCUUCCCUCAACUCACGGCAUCCAGGAAUGAAGGAGGGUAGUUCGGGGGAGAACGUACUGGUGCGUCAGAGGUGAAAUUCUUAGUCCACACUGCAAACGAUGACACCCAUGAAUUGGGGAGUUUUUGGUUGUAGGCGUGGUCGGGCUUGAUUAUUGUAUUUCAUCCCGUUCCUCGUCUCCCCAAUGAAUAUUAAAUUGACUAGCGUAUUCUUUUUGGUCCUCGUUUUUUUACGGCGAGGGCCUUUAACGGGAAUAUCCUCAGCACGUAUCUACUUAACAGUG